GAUGAAGAACGCAGCGAAAUGCGAUAAGUAAUGUGGAUUGCAGAAUUCAGUGAAUCAUCGAAUCUUUGAACGCACAUUGCGCCCCUUGGUAUUCCGAGGGGCAUGCCUGUUCGAGCGUCAUUAUAACCCCUCAAGCUCAGCUUGGUGUUGGGGCCUGCUGCACUGGCAGCCCUUAAAAUCAGUGGCGGCGCCAUCUGGCUCUAAGCGUAGUAAUUCUUCUCGCUAUGGAGUCCUGGUGGAUGCUUGCCAUCAACCCCCAAUUUUUCUAUGGUUGACCUCGGAUCAGGUAGGGAUACCCGCUGAACUUAAGCAUAUCAAUAAGCGGAGGA
This 329-nucleotide unclassified non-coding RNA is filed under the name soil metagenome. RNAcentral's name for it is "partial contains 5.8S ribosomal RNA, internal transcribed spacer 2, and large subunit ribosomal RNA". The stretch from base 1 to 120 matches the Rfam family "5.8S ribosomal RNA", at positions 35 to 154 of the family's 154-position model. The record is from RNAcentral.